Molecule: ribosomal RNA, 381 nt
Filed under: uncultured marine Chaetocerotaceae
Lineage: Eukaryota; Bacillariophyta; Thalassiosirophyceae; Chaetocerotales; Chaetocerotaceae
Description: SSU rRNA
Rfam family: Eukaryotic small subunit ribosomal RNA
Source: RNAcentral
AGCUCCAAUAGCGUAUAUUAAAGUUGCUGCAGUUAAAAAGCUCGUAGUUGCAUUUCCGAGGCAAGGGAUUAGUCCGACCUUUGGUGGGUAUUUAAUCCUCUUGCCUCGUCCUUGAGUGGUGCUUCUUGGUAUUAAGUUAUCGAGGAGAUAGCCGCUCAUCGUUUACUGUGAGAAAAUUAGAGUGUUCAAAGCAGGCUUAUGCCGUUGAAUAUAUUAGCAUGGAAUAAUAAGAUAGGACCUCGGUACUAUUUUGUUGGUUUGAGAACCAAGGUAAUGAUGAAUAGGGACAGUUGGGGGUAUUCGUAUUCAGUUGUCAGAGGUGAAAGUCUUAGAUUUACGGAAGACGAACUACUGCGAAAGCAUUUACCAAGGAUGUGUUCA